AUUGAACGCUGGCGGCAUGCCUUACACAUGCAAGUCGAACGGCAGCGCGGGGCAACCUGGCGGCGAGUGGCGAACGGGUGAGUAAUAUAUCGGAACAUACCCUAGAGUGGGGAUAACGUAGCGAAAGUUACGCUAAUACCGCAUACGCACUAAGGUGGAAAGUGGGGGAUUCGCAAGAACCUCAUGCUCAUGGAGUGGCCGAUAUCUGAUUAGCUAGUUGGUGAGGUAAAGGCUCACCAAGGCAACGAUCAGUAGCUGGUUUGAGAGAACGACCAGCCACACUGGAACUGAGACACGGUCCAGACUCCUACGGGAGGCAGCAGUGGGGAAUUUUGGGACAAUGGGGGCAACCCUGAUCCAGCAAUGCCGCGUGAGUGAAGAAGGCCUUCGGUUGUAAGACUCUUUGUCAGGAGAACGGUGAGAGCUAAUAU
Molecule: ribosomal RNA, 431 nt
Filed under: uncultured bacterium
Lineage: Bacteria
Description: bacterial SSU rRNA
Rfam family: Bacterial small subunit ribosomal RNA
Source: RNAcentral